UUUUUUCAUCCAAACAUUCUACCCAUUGUUGUUGAGUUAAUGGCCUUGAAACUGAGUUGCUUCCUUAGGUCAAUUAUAUUUAAAACCCCAUUCGGCUAGUGGCGCCUUGGAGGGUUUUCUCCAACAAGCUUAUCUCAUUUUCUUUUCCUCAACUCACCAUUUUCUUAUGGUGUCUGUAAGGGUUUUCCACUAUUGAGACACUCUUAUCUACAUUUCCCUUAACUCACAGUCAUCUUACAGUGCCUAUGAGAGUUUUCACCGAUA
Molecule: long non-coding RNA, 264 nt
Filed under: Capsicum annuum
Lineage: Eukaryota; Viridiplantae; Streptophyta; Magnoliopsida; Solanales; Solanaceae
Description: long non-coding RNA (CANN_LNC016903)
Source: RNAcentral